GUUAAGAUGGCAGAGCAUGGCUAAUGCAGAAGAUCUAAAAUCUUUGUUCCAGAGGUUCAAAUCCUCUUCUUAACU
This 75-nucleotide transfer RNA is filed under the name Acanthemblemaria sp. AC-2023. Its description in RNAcentral is "tRNA-Leu". It matches the Rfam family "tRNA". Rfam says of the family: Transfer RNA (tRNA) molecules are approximately 80 nucleotides in length. Their secondary structure includes four short double-helical elements and three loops (D, anti-codon, and T loops). Further hydrogen bonds mediate the characteristic L-shaped molecular structure. tRNAs have two regions of fundamental functional importance: the anti-codon, which is responsible for specific mRNA codon recognition, and the 3' end, to which the tRNAs corresponding amino acid is attached (by aminoacyl-tRNA synthetases). tRNAs cope with the degeneracy of the genetic code in two manners: having more than one tRNA (with a specific anti-codon) for a particular amino acid; and 'wobble' base-pairing, i.e. permitting non-standard base-pairing at the 3rd anti-codon position. Lineage: Eukaryota; Metazoa; Chordata; Actinopteri; Blenniiformes; Chaenopsidae. The record is from RNAcentral.